Molecule: ribosomal RNA, 146 nt
Filed under: Neofusicoccum parvum
Lineage: Eukaryota; Fungi; Ascomycota; Dothideomycetes; Botryosphaeriales; Botryosphaeriaceae
Description: partial 28S ribosomal RNA
Source: RNAcentral
ACCUCGGCGGUGGCGUCUUGCCUCAAGCGUAGUAGAAAACACCUCGCUUUGGAGCGCACGGCGUCGCCCGCCGGACGAACCUUUGAAUUAUUUCUCAAGGUUGACCUCGGAUCAGGUAGGGAUACCCGCUGAACUUAAGCAUAUCA